Long non-coding RNA from Capsicum annuum, 460 nucleotides. RefSeq lists it as uncharacterized. The record is from RefSeq and is a predicted model, not a curated record. NCBI's taxonomy places the organism in Eukaryota, Viridiplantae, Streptophyta, Magnoliopsida, Solanales, Solanaceae. The transcript is spliced from 2 exons.
ACUAGUUGUGAUCAACAUGUUAGAAAAUUACCAAUCAAAGGCAUGCAUUUCCUGAGUAUAGGUCGAAGAAGUAUCGGGGAGAGGUGAUUAGACAGGACAUGGGUCACCUGCAGUUUAUUGAGGACAUGAACCUAGAUAGAAAGAUAUGAAGAUGGAGGAUCGGAGUAGAAGGUUUCAAUAAAAUGGGCGAUGUGAUGUCUCAGGUUCCCUUUUCAUCAAAUUGUUGCAACUUUGAUGGUUGAUAGUUAGCUUGGAAUACGACUUUGAGUAACCUAAAGAACUUUAUGAUGGACCAAUAUAUUGACCUUUGACUCAUAGUCGAAGAGUACAUGCACGAUCAAAAGGCGACUUUCAGGAUUCAGAGUCAAUAAAUUUAAAAUGAGUACAAUUUUAUAUAUAUAUAUAUAUGCACAUUUAAUUUAAAUAUUCUUGCAUAUAUAUACAUAGUUCGAAUCGCAAA